GUGGGGGAUAUUGCACAAUGGAGGAAACUCUGAUGCAGCGACGCCGCGUGAGUGAAGAAGUAUUUCGGUAUGUAAAGCUCUAUCAGCAGGGAAGAUAAUGACAGUACCUGACUAAGAAGCCCCGGCUAACUACGUGCCAGCAGCCGCGGUAAUACGUAGGGGGCAAGCGUUAUCCGGAUUUAUUGGGUGUAAAGGGCGUGUAGGCGGGACAGCAAGUCAGAUGUGAAAACCAGAGGCUCAACCUCUGGCCUGCAUUUGAAACUGUUGUUCUUGAGUGUCGGAGAGGUAAUCGGAAUUCCGUGUGUAGCGGUGAAAUGCGUAGAUAUACGGAGGAACACCAGUGGCGAAGGCGCCUUUCUGGACUGUGUCUGACGCUGAGAUGCGAAAGCCAGGGUAGCGAACGGGAUUAGAAACCCCGGUAGUCC
RNAcentral lists this ribosomal RNA (425 nucleotides) under uncultured bacterium. RNAcentral's name for it is "partial 16S ribosomal RNA". It matches the Rfam family "Bacterial small subunit ribosomal RNA", at positions 354 to 796 of the family's 1533-position model. The record is from RNAcentral.